Molecule: ribosomal RNA, 717 nt
Filed under: uncultured bacterium
Lineage: Bacteria
Description: bacterial SSU rRNA
Rfam family: Bacterial small subunit ribosomal RNA
Source: RNAcentral
AUGCAAGUCGAGGGGCAGCAUGGUGUAGCAAUACACUGAUGGCGACCGGCGCACGGGUGAGUAACGCGUAUGCAACCUACCUACUACAGGGGGAUAGCCCGAAGAAAUUCGGAUUAAUACCGCAUAAAACAGGGGCACCGCAUGGUGAUAUUUGUUAAAAAUUUAUUGGUAGUAGAUGGGCAUGCGUUCCAUUAGCUAGUUGGUAGGGUAAUGGCUUACCAAGGCAACGAUGGAUAGGGGAACUGAGAGGUUGAUCCCCCACACUGGUACUGAGACACGGACCAGACUCCUACGGGAGGCAGCAGUGAGGAAUAUUGGUCAAUGGACGAGAGUCUGAACCAGCCAAGUCGCGUGAAGGAUGAAGGUUCUAUGGAUUGUAAACUUCUUUUGUACAGGGGUAAAAAACGGGACGUGUCCUGUCUUGCAAGUACUGUACGAAUAAGCAUCGGCUAACUCCGUGCCAGCAGCCGCGGUAAUACGGAGGAUGCGAGCGUUAUCCGGAUUUAUUGGGUUUAAAGGGUGCGUAGGCGGUUUAUUAAGUCAGCGGUGAAAGUUUGAGGCUCAACCUUAAAAUUGCCGUUGAAACUGGUAGACUUGAGUAUAGAUGAAGUAGGCGGAAUUAGUGGUGUAGCGGUGAAAUGCAUAGAUAUCACUAGGAACUCCGAUAGCGAAGGCAGCUUACUAAGGUAUAACUGACGCUGAUGCACGAAAGUGUGG